RNAcentral lists this long non-coding RNA (6268 nucleotides) under Micromonas commoda. RNAcentral's name for it is "long non-coding RNA (MCOM_LNC000180)". The record is from RNAcentral. Lineage: Eukaryota; Viridiplantae; Chlorophyta; Mamiellophyceae; Mamiellales; Mamiellaceae.
CGACCGGUACAGCGGAUCAGACUUGAAGGAGCUGUGCAAGAGCGCCGCGAUGGGACCCAUCCGCGACUUGCUCGCGAGCGAGGCGAGGGACUACGAAGCGCGCAAGAAGAAGCGCGCGCAAAACUCGGGUCCGCGGCUCGACGAUGCCGGACGCAUCGUCUCUCUGGACGAGUUCGAGGACGCCAACGACGACGACGACGCGGACUAUUGGCAACGUCCUUCGCGAUCGGCGAAGCGUCCGAUGGGCUUGGCCGAUUUCGCCGAGGUGCUCUCCAAGACGGGCACGAGCGCGGACGCCGCGGCGACGUACAGGCACGCCGAGCAGGAGCGCGCGUGGGAGCGUGACAGGCGCGGCGCGAGUGCGCACGCGGGCGGCUUCGGGACGGGAUCCCCGUUCGGCGGUGGCUCGGGUUUCGGCGGAAACUCCCCGGCGGUUGACGCUUCGCAGUUGAUGCAGUUUGUGCACGCGAUGAUGGCGCCGGGCGGCGGGAGCCAGGACGGGGGAAGCGGCGCGAACACACCGGGGGGUGGCGCGAGCGCGACGGGUUCCCAGGCUGGGGACGUCGAGAUCACGCCGGAGCUCAUCGAGAAGCUGAAGAAGCACAUGGCGGCUCAGGGGAAGGGCGCGGCGAGCGGGGGCGCAAACGCAAACUGACGAGAAGCGAUUUUCCCGCGUGAGAAGCGACUGUUAUUCGACACAUUCUUUCGAACCCACCAAACUCACAGCGUGUUUAGCCGGGUCGCGCAGACGACGCGCACGGUCUGAUCGAAAGACCCGCACACCGCCAGACCCUCCUUAUCAGGCGACCAGUCCCAGCUGCUGAUCGGCUGCGUGCUCACGUUCUUCGAGUUGACCAGGUUCAUCGUCCCCGCCACGCCCAUCUUGACCCCGUCCUUGUCCUUCACCACCCUCUGAUCCGGGUACUGAUACUUGUACAGCAUCAGGGUCCCGUCCCCGCCCAGAACCAUGCUCACCUCGCGGUUCUGCGGCAGGUGCUUCGCCCCCCACACCGUCGCGCUCACGGGCACCUUCUCCGUCACCGAGCUGAAACCCUUCGCCGGGUGUUGCGUCCGAGCGUCAAACACGGUAAACGCUGAUUCCAGACACGUCACCACGAACUUGUUCAUGGCGAUCUCCUUGCGGUCGAACUCCACGGAACACACGCCGUUCCUCACGUUGUGCUCGGCUCGCACCGUCCCGGUUCGCAGGUCGAACAUCUUCACGUCGCCGUUGUCGUACCCGGCGAGCACGCACCGCUCUUCGUCGUUGAAGGAGUUGCCAAAUGCGACGCUCCAGCAAUCCCUCGCCUUGACCCCUUCCGCGGGUUCGAAGAUGGCGACGGGCGCGUCCUUCUGGCGGACGUCCCACACGCGAACGCACCCGUCGCGGCCGCCGGUGACGAGUUCGGGCGGGCCGUAGCCGCUCCUCUGACCCCCGGCGCCGUCGAUGGCGUUGACGAUCGAGGUGUGCGCCUUGACGUCCAUGAGCGGCUUCUCCGGGCGCUGGAGAUCCCACAGCUGCAGGUAGCCCUCGAAGUUACCCGUCGCGAGGUGACGCUCGCGGAGGGAGGAUGCGCCGAAGGUUCCGCACUUGAAGGCCGCCUUCUUCUCGAGCUCCUUGUUGAGCUUCACGCCUUCGUUCUCCGUGUCGAGCGAGUAGAUCUGGAGGCAUCCCGUGGCCCGAGCGUACGAGCCGAGGACCACGAACCGCGCGCUGGUGGGUAUCCACUUGGUGUCGUAGGUGGUGAUGUUCACCGGCUUCUGGUACAACUCCAGGAUGUUUGGGCCGGCGGAAAGGCCCAUGGGGUCCAUGGCGACAGGGGUCCGUCCGUGUCGUCCCUGCCUCGAUCACUGGAGUUGACUCCGAUUUCCCUGACCCUUCGUUUGGAAUUCGCCUGCAGUGCCGACAGCGCGGGUUGCAGCGCGGGGGGGGGGGGGGGGGAACGUCAUGAAUCGUCGCGGCGGCGUCGCCGCUUUGAUCGCCCUCGCGAUGGUCACGUUCGUGUACCUCGCGUACGUGAGCGGCGUGGGGAACAUGUAUCUCCCCUCCGAGAGCGUCGCGUCGACCACCUCGUCGCCCGUCGGUCGAGUCGCGAUCCCCGCGCGGAUAGCGAACCCGAGCCCUCCGGCGCCCGCGCCGCUCGUAGACGAACGCCCCGAACCCGCUCCCGAGCCACGUGCGAGUCCGGCGCCGACGUCUCCGGCCGUCGUGAGAGACGACCGGAAAGAUGAGGGUCGUAAGCUACCGAUGGAGUGUCCAAUGGUGGACGUCGCCGAUCCAGAGAACGUCGCGGCGGUGGCGAGAUCUUUGGGAGAUGCCUCCGACGUCGUGGUCUUCGCCACGCAGGACAUCGAGCACUGGCGCGCUGAAUUCCUCGUCAACGUCAUCCUCAACCUCAUGUCCGUGAACGUCACGUCGGUGGUCACCGUGGGGAGGCACAAGCACACGUGCGAGAGCGCGAGACGCGACAACCCCGACGUCGUCCGAUGCUGCGUCUACAGCACGUGGCUCGACGGCCACGACGCGCUCAAACGUUGGACCUUAGCCGAGGACCACGCGUACGUCCUGUGGCUGAUCCGGUACAGGUUCGCGCUGGACAUCAUGCGCGCCGGUGAGGUGGGCGUGCUGGUGUCGGACAGCGACAUGUGGUUCGAACGCGACCCGUUCGAGCUGCUCAAAGACGCCGCCACGGGCCUCGGAACGCACUCGGUCGUCGCCAACGUGGAGGGCGAACCGUUUCCGUCCAUGAACGGCGGGUUGGUCUACUUCCGUGCCGACCUACCCGGUAAAGGCGGGCGGUACCUCCUGGAGGUUUUUAACGACCACGUGGAUGAUUUAUUGGCGGACGAAUCGCCCCCCGAGUGUCACAAGGAGCAAGGGGUCGGGACGCAGGUUGUCUGGGGCGCGAUGAUGGACCAAGAUAUCCUGAGAGACGCGGCGGAGACGGCGGUGGCGGGUGCGCCGCUGUGGUGGUCGUACACGCACCACGUGUGCCUGUUCAAGGGCGGGUACGACGAGGCGACCAAGGCGAAGAUGGAGAUAAAGAGCAAGCACCCGGAGACGCUGGACUGGAGUCGAUCGGGGCGCUCGCUGCCGCGCCCGUUCCAGUCGCACCCCGCCGUGGAGGCGCUCGGUGAUGAGCACCCCCUGAACGAAUCCGAGGAGAAGUACGGGAUCAUGAAAGUCCCGAACUAUGAGACCUGGCGCAACCUGACGAUACUCGCGGCGCCCAAGUGGAUGUUCGCGAACCACGGCGACGGCGACGGCUGGUUCGCGCUGCGUCCCCGACCGGGCGCCGCGUUCCACUGCAUGUCGCAGAACCAGGGCAUCAAACCGCGCAUGCUCCGCGCGUACGACAUGUGGCACUGGGACGUCCUGGGCGCCGGGCGGGGGAUACGCGUCGGGCAGGGACGGUACCUGAGCCUGGCGUCGGCGGCUUUUGGGCACUUUACCAAACGCGGGGAGUUUGCGAUGCAGGCGCACAGGCUCGCCGCGCUCGCCGCCGCGACGGGGCGAAUCCCCGUCCUUCCCAUGAUCCCCUGCGCGUCCCCGUGGCUCGAUGACUGGCGACGCCCGGACGACUGCUACGCGGGCGUCCUCGAACGCAUAAACGUCCUCGCGGGGACGUGCCCCGUCACCGCGCUGCGGCAGUUCCAGGGCCCCGACGCCGCGUACCCCGGCGACCCGGCGGCAGAGGGUUCGGUGGGCUCGCCGUGCUGUUACUUCGUUCCCCCGGGCGACGACUGCGAGGAAAAGUUCGCGGCGUGGGGCGCCGAGAUGACGGGCGAGGACCCGCACAAUCGACCCGGACGCACGGUGCGGCUGGACGCGAUCAUCGACGCGGCACAGCUGGUCGUGGACGCGGGCGACGCGACGGAGUACGCGGACCGAAGCUGGGUGCUCGGGGACGACUUCCCGCCGGACAACGCGAAGCACCCCACGGACGUGUUCGUGGACUUUGGGCGCGUCGUGAAGGCGAUUGAAGGGGACGGGGAUCAAAACACGCCGUGGGUGGAGAUCGACAUGCGGGGUAAGGACGCGCUGCCCCGGGUGGUGACGCAGCGGGGCGUCGACGAUAAAAGCCGGCGGAAGUGGUUCAUGGAUUACAACGCCGCGUGUCCCCUCGUCAACAGGGUGUCGCCGAUGGUGUGAGCGCGACCAGCUGUGCCGCGUCGAUGAGCGAGUCGGGGUCUACAUAGUUUAACAACAUUCUUUCGAAUCAAAAACAACGAAAUCUACAUCUGCGUGGUGUUCAAAUAAUGUCUUUCGCGCGCGCCCGACGCGAGACUGAGGCGCGCGGGAGACUCGCUAAUCUUACUUUGUCUCCUCAUCCGCCUUGACGGAUUCUCCGAAGGACUGCGCCUCCUCCUUGAGCUUCCGGAGCAUCAUCCGCUGCUCCUCCGACAUGGCGUCGAUGGUCUCCUUCGAUAGCUCUCCCGUGAACUUCGGUCCCGCGCCCUCCUCUUUGGGCGCGACGUUUGCGAGGUAUCGCGACCACUCGCUCGCGAAUUCGAUCCACCGAUCGUUCGUCAUGCUCUUCGAGUCCAGGUGUCGCCGAAACUCCUCGCGCGCGUACCCGUCGCCGAGGACGCGCAUGGGCGGGGGUAGGCACUUGUAGUGCGCCCGGAGUAUCUGCCUGUAGAGGCUGACGAUCGGCCUCGCCGCCUCGUUCAUCAUGUCUAAGUGGCUCUAAUCAAAAACUAGGGUUGGUGGGCUCCAGAUCGGGCCGUCGCGUUCACGCGGUGGGCGUGGGCUCGGCGUUACCGGUGGGGGACUGGAGCACGCCCAUCUGCUCCUGCUCGAGGGCCAUCAUCUGUUCCUCCCUGUGCAGCUGGAUCACGAGGGGCACCACGAGGAUGAGGAAGGAGGUGCCGAACUGCCACGCAGCCUUGCCGGUGUGCCACGCGAGCUUCUUGGACACGUGCCACGCGUCCGCGGCGCCGAAGGGCUUGGAGCUGCGGUUGGGCUCGGCGGCGGGCUGGAUUUCCAUGUGUUGAGAAAACCUGAUGUGUCUACACGAGGUGCGACACUCUCUGAGAAGUCUGCGGCCCGGACGAUGAGUGGCGGGGAUGCCUCGGCCCGAUCAAAAACACGGUUUUCCGGAGUGAUGACCCGUUUCAACUCGUUGAGAGCGGCCCGGUUUUCGGCUGCGGAGAUGGUUCGGGCGGUGCACAACUUCGCGAGCGUAUGAGAAGGUUCCUGUAAAUUUGGGCCAAAAUGGGAAACAACGACGCUUCGCGGCACUCCGCUGAUUAGGACACUGCCGAUUUCGGAGAGAUUUGCGUUAAAAAAUCAGAUCACGCUCGGAUUUUGGUGGCCCGAGAGACUGCAAAGCAUAGUGCUACGCAAGUUUGUUGCCACCUCAACGAACUGCUGCCGAGUCAUCUGAUAUCCUCCCUUUUUUCCAAAAACCCUUACGACGCCCCGCUUCCUGGAUUCCGUGUUCGUGAAAGCGCGUCGCUUCCCCCGUCGACCCCUCACUUCACGCCCUCGCGUAUCGAACCAAGCCGUUCGUUCGCGUCCGCUUUCGAGACCUCCGUCGUCCGAAAGUUCAAAGCGCCGGUCGAGCAGCAACCCUCGGGUUCCGUUCGCCUCUCUCUUUUUACAGUUCUCUGUAAAGUGCGGAACGCUUGUCGCAUCGCCGGCAACGUCGCAACAACCAGUGCGGGCCGGGACUGUAUGUGCUGAGGCCUUAACAGUCUCCCACGAGACCAACGCGUAAAGAGCGUUAACCUUCCCGGACCCCACAACCUAAGGUCGCACAGCAACCAUGGCUAAUAUGGCCAACAUGUUCGCCCUCCUCGACGAGGACGCUCCCAAGGCUGCCCCUGCCAAGGAGAACAAGCCUGCCGCUGCGGCUGCGCCCGCCAAGAAGGCGCCCGCCAAGACCGGCGACAAGCCCGGUGAGUCGACGUUCUAUCGCACAACUCGUUCCCCUCUUUGUUCACCAUCGAAACCCGGGUCCGUUCGCGUCGGUCGCCCACGCCACCGUCGCGGAUUCCCGGCGUCGAGCGCCCCGGGAUGCGAUUUUUUCCUCCGCGAGAUAACACUCGCUGCUGCGGAGAAAUCUCCCGGCGAUCGUCGCAAAACCCUCACCCCGGUUCCGUCGCUUAUGAACCCAUCCCCGCCUCUUCGAUCCUCUCCGCAGCCGGCAACCGCAACAACGGCAACGCCAAGCGCGCUCCCCGCGCCCCUCGCGAGUUCGAGGGCUCCGUCGAGGGCACCGAGGGCGGCCGCAGCCGUCCCCGCAACGCCGAUCGCCGCAAG